Molecule: ribosomal RNA, 377 nt
Filed under: uncultured bacterium
Lineage: Bacteria
Description: bacterial SSU rRNA
Rfam family: Bacterial small subunit ribosomal RNA
Source: RNAcentral
GACGAACGCUGGCGGCGUGCUUAACACAUGCAAGUCGAGCGGAAAGGCCCUUCGGGGUACUCGAGCGGCGAACGGGUGAGUAACACGUGGGCAAUCUGCCCCUCGCUCUGGGAUAACUCCGGGAAACCGGGGCUAAUACCGGAUAUGGACCAUUUGAGGCAUCUCGGGUGGUGGAAAGUUUUUCGGCGAGGGAUGGGCCCGCGGCCUAUCAGCUUGUUGGUGGGGUAAUGGCCUACCAAGGCAGUGACGGGUAGCCGGCCUGAGAGGCGACCGGCCACACUGGGACUGAGACACGGCCCAGACUCCUACGGGAGGCAGCAGUGGGGAAUAUUGCGCAAUGGGCGAAAGCCUGACGCAGCGACGCCGCGUGAGGGAUG